This 380-nucleotide ribosomal RNA is filed under the name uncultured eukaryote. RNAcentral describes it as "partial 18S ribosomal RNA". It matches the Rfam family "Eukaryotic small subunit ribosomal RNA", at positions 592 to 976 of the family's 1831-position model. The record is from RNAcentral.
CAAUAGCGUAUAUUAAAGUUGUUGCAGUUAAAAAGCUCGUAGUUGGAUUUGUGGCGUACGGUGGGUUCCGGGCACUUGUUGUCUGAGUAACUUGCUGUUGCCAUCCUUGGGUGGAACCUGUGUGGCAUUAGGUUGUCGUGCAGGGGAUGCCCAUCAUUUACUGUGAAAAAAUUAGAGUGUUCAAAGCAGGCUUAUGCCGUUGAAUAUAUUAGCAUGGAAUAAUGAGAUAGGACUUUUUUGCUAUUUUGUUGGUUUGCGCAAAGAGGUAAUGAUUAAUAGGGACAGUUGGGGGUAGUCGUAUUCCAUUGUCAGAGGUGAAAUUCUUGGAUUUUUGGAAGACGAACUACUGCGAAAGCAUUUACCAAGGAUGUUUUCAUUAA